RNAcentral lists this ribosomal RNA (1257 nucleotides) under metagenome. RNAcentral describes it as "bacterial LSU rRNA". It matches the Rfam family "Bacterial large subunit ribosomal RNA", at positions 1686 to 2925 of the family's 2925-position model. The record is from RNAcentral.
GCGAUUGAGAGAACUCUCUCCAAGGAACUCGGCAAAUUACCACCGUAACUUCGGAAGAAGGUGGGCCCUCCGUAGGUGUAGUCGUACAGACGAAGCCGAUGAGGGUUGCAGAGAAAUGGCGGUAGCGACUGUUUACCAAAAACACAGGACUCUGCGAAGACGACAAGUCGACGUAUAGGGUCUGACUCCUGCCCGGUGCUGGAAGGUUAAGGGGAUUCGUCAGCCGCAAGGCGAAGCGAUGAUCCGAAGCCCCAGUAAACGGCGGCCGUAACGAUAAAGGUCCUAAGGUAGCGAAAUUCCUUGUCGGGUAAGUUCCGACCUGCACGAAUGGAGUAACGACUUCCGCGCUGUCUCGGAGAGGGACUCAGCGAAAUUGAAAUAGCUGUGCCGAUGCAGUUUACCCGCAGCAAGACGGAAAGACCCCGUGAACCUUUACUACAACUUGACAGUGACACUAGGGAUUGACUGUGUAGGAUAGGUGGGAGCCUUUGAAACCGGGCCGCUAGGUUCGGUGGAGGCAACGGUGAAAUACCACCCUGUUGGUUUCUGGUGUCUAACCGUGUCCCAUAAUCUGGGAUCGGGACACUGUCUGGUGGGUAGUUUGACUGGGGCGGUCGCCUCCCAAAGCGUAACGGAGGUGCGCGAUGGUUCCCUCAGCCCGAUUGGAAACCGGGCGGCGAGUGCAAUGGCAUAAGGGAGCUUAACUGCGAGACAGACAUGUCGAGCAGGUGCGAAAGCAGGUCAUAGUGAUCCGGUGGUUCUGAAUGGAAGGGCCAUCGCUCAACGGAUAAAAGGUACUCCGGGGAUAACAGGCUUAUCUCCUCCAAGAGUUCACAUCGACGAGGAGGCUUGGCACCUCGAUGUCGGCUCAUCGCAUCCUGGGGCUGGAGCAGGUCCCAAGGGUUUGGCUGUUCGCCAAUUAAAGCGGUACGCGAGCUGGGUUCAAAACGUCGUGAGACAGUUUGGUCCCUAUCUGCUGUGGGCGUAGGAUACUUGAGAGGAUCUGUCCUUAGUACGAGAGGACCGGGAUGGAGACACCUCUGGUGUACCAGUUGUCACGCCAGUGGCAUCGCUGGGUAGCCAUGUGUCGAUUGGAUAACCGCUGAAAGCAUCUAAGCGGGAAACCGACCUCAAGAAUAGGUAUCCCGGGGGAAACCCCCUGAGGACCCGUCGAAGACUACGACGUUGAUAGGCCGGGUGUGUAAGCGUGGCAACACGUUGAGCUAACCGGUACUAAUUGGUCGUGCGGCUUACUUC